This 253-nucleotide ribosomal RNA is filed under the name uncultured bacterium. RNAcentral describes it as "partial 16S ribosomal RNA". It matches the Rfam family "Bacterial small subunit ribosomal RNA", at positions 524 to 776 of the family's 1533-position model. The record is from RNAcentral.
UACGAGGGGGGCAAGCGUUGUUCGGAAUUAUUGGGCGUAAAGGGUGCGUAGGCGGGCAGGUAAGUCCGUGGUGAAAUCUCUGAGCUUAACUCAGAAACUGCCAUGGAUACUAUUUGUCUUGAAUGUUGUGGAGGUAAGCGGAAUAUGUCAUGUAGCGGUGAAAUGCUUAGAUAUGACAUAGAACACCAAUUGCGAAGGCAGCUUACUACACAAAUAUUGACGCUGAGGCACGAAAGCGUGGGGAUCAAACAGG